UACGGAGGGUGCUAGCGUUGUCCGGAAUCACUGGGCGUAAAGGGCGCGUAGGCGGCCGUGUAAGUCACUUGUGAAAUCCCGGGGCUCAACUCCGGGGCUGCAGGUGAGACUGCGUGGCUAGAGUUUGGUAGAGGCGAGUGGAAUUCCCGGUGUAGCGGUGGAAUGCGUAGAUAUCGGGAAGAACACCGGUGGCGAAGGCGGCUCGCUGGGCCAAUGCUGACGCUGAGGCGCGAAAGCGUGGGGAGCAAACAGG
RNAcentral lists this ribosomal RNA (253 nucleotides) under uncultured bacterium. Its description in RNAcentral is "partial 16S ribosomal RNA". It matches the Rfam family "Bacterial small subunit ribosomal RNA", at positions 524 to 776 of the family's 1533-position model. The record is from RNAcentral.